Long non-coding RNA from Austrofundulus limnaeus, 1198 nucleotides. RefSeq lists it as uncharacterized. The record is from RefSeq and is a predicted model, not a curated record. Lineage: Eukaryota; Metazoa; Chordata; Actinopteri; Cyprinodontiformes; Rivulidae. The transcript has 2 exons.
UGCGCGCGCACGUCAGAGCUGAGUCUGACGUCCGCUCCUCGUGAUGCCUACGUCAUGACGCUGCCAGCUGAUCGGAGUGGGAAGCCGGGUGUGGGUCUGGGUGUGAUGUWAGAGGGAGGGAGGACCGGGACAGGAGUUGUGUAAAAGGGGUUGAAGUCCUGCGGAGUCUCCUCCGCUGCUUCGGAGAUAAAAAAAAAGCUCCCAGAGAAACAAAAUCUGUCAAACCUUUGUUUUUUUGUUCCUUUAUUUCCUUAAAGAAAGUAUUUUUCCUCCUCCAGCGGAGAGGUUAAAGAAAUCCGCAGACUCUGACACACCCUGCCCGGUUAAAGCUCCGGGACUGAGCACCGAGCCGCGGAGGGGCGAGGCGGACCGCUGCGCUCCGGUGGACGGACUCGACCGAACCGUGCACACCGGGGGAGUCACCUCUCUUCGAGCCGUUCGGCUGGGUCGUGCGUCACCCCGGGCUGUCUGGUCUCCCCCACCACAGAUGGCUGACUCACAGCAGUUCUUCACUGGCAAGCUUUAUGUUCCUCUACACAUGCUAAAGCUGCCAGCUGAAGAACUGCUCUGGUCUGCCCUGCCCCGCACGACUCAAGACCAGGAAGAGGAUGUGAGCUGGUGGGAAUCCAAGGUUCAGCAAUCAAACUGGACUUUUGUUUAAUAGGAUUUCCUCGUCGCCGUUUCUAGUCGUGUGUAAACCCCAUUAAAUACAAGGUCCUGUGAUGUCAUUUUUCUUCUAAAUAUGUUGUUUAGUCUCUGCUUAUGUUUUCUCUCCUUUGCAAUAAAGAACAAAAUGUUCUCCGAGUGCACACGGGCAAUAAAACACAUGCCUGUCCUGAAAUAACACACAGGGAAAGCAACAAUGCUGCACAAGGAUGAAUCACAUUUAAUUGUUUUUAACUCUGAAAUAUCUGGUAAUCUCAUUAAAACAAAUAAGAAGCAGAAGUAAAACUUCUGUAUACAAAAGUCACACAUUAGUCACUCGUGUUUAGUCACGACAAACAGCUGCUGCUGUUAGAAAUAUACAAGAGGAAGGAAAAAAACACUUACCUAACUGAUGCUCUGCAGGGCCUGAAGGCGUCUCCAGCUGCCUCACUGAAUUCCUUCAGAGUUCACUUGUGAAAUCACCAGUGAAUUAAUGACUGAAUUCAUUAAAUCAUGAACUUUUUAUUAUUAAUAAAGACARAAUUAAUUUAAA